GACGAACGCUGGCGGCGUGCCUAAUACAUGCAAGUAGAACGCUGAAGGAGGAGCUUGCUUCUCCGGAUGAGUUGCGAACGGGUGAGUAACGCGUAGGUAACCUGCCUGGUAGCGGGGGAUAACUAUUGGAAACGAUAGCUAAUACCGCAUAAGAGUAGAUGUCGCAUGACAUUUGCUUAAAAGGUGCAACUGCACCACUACCAGAUGGACCUACGUUGUAUUAGCUAGUUGGUGAGGUAACGGCUCACCAAGGCAACGAUACAUAGCCGACCCGAGAGGGUGAUCGGCCACACUGGGACUGAGACACGGCCCAGACUCCUACGGGAGGCAGCAGUAGGGAAUCUUCGGCAAUGGACGGAAGUCUGACCGAGCAACGCCGCGUGAGUGAAGAAGGUUUUCGGAUCGUAAAGCUCUGUUGUAAGAGAAGAACGAGUGUGAGAGUGGAAAGUUCACACUGUGACGGUAUCUUACCAGAAAGGGACGGCUAACUACGUG
RNAcentral lists this ribosomal RNA (495 nucleotides) under uncultured bacterium. RNAcentral's name for it is "partial 16S ribosomal RNA". It matches the Rfam family "Bacterial small subunit ribosomal RNA", at positions 28 to 507 of the family's 1533-position model. The record is from RNAcentral.